Hermetia illucens (black soldier fly) is the source of this 346-nucleotide long non-coding RNA. RefSeq lists it as uncharacterized. The transcript is spliced from 2 exons. The record is from RefSeq and is a predicted model, not a curated record. Lineage: Eukaryota; Metazoa; Arthropoda; Insecta; Diptera; Stratiomyidae.
UUGUUUCUCGGUACCAGUGCAGAAAAGGUUUUCAUAAUUUUACAUCGUAUACAUACAUUUUAUCUUUUUCGUUAGUAUUUAUGUAAUAAGAUACUUUGGUCAAAUGAGUAGUAAAAAAAUAAUCCAACCGAAAAUAAAUAUAAGUGACUGCUAAUGUCAUGCUUAGCCGCCUGCACAGGGGGAUUAUAUUAACGAAUAGAACAGUGAGACUGAGUUUUUAAGAAGCAGAUUAGCAUGAAAUUACUGUACUAGAGCCUAGAGGAAAGUUUUCAGUACCGCCGAGUUUUCCGCAACCGAACGAAGACAGUAGCACAAAAAUCUAUGACAACCUAGAUUGGAAUCUUCA